GAUGAAGAACGUAGCGAAAUGCGAUAAGUAAUGUGAAUUGCAGAAUUCAGUGAAUCAUCGAAUCUUUGAACGCACAUUGCGCCCUCUGGUAUUCCGGGGGGCAUGCCUGUUCGAGCGUCAUUAUAACCACUCAAGCUCUCGCUUGGUAUUGGGGUUCGCGGUUUCGCGGCCCCUAAAAUCAGUGGCGGUGCCUGUCGGCUCUACGCGUAGUAAUACUCCUCGCGAUUGAGUCCGGUAGGUCUACUUGCCAGCAACCCCCAAUUUUUACAGGUUGACCUCGGAUCAGGUAGGGAUACCCGCUGAACUUAAGCAUAUCAAUAAGCGGAGGA
RNAcentral lists this unclassified non-coding RNA (329 nucleotides) under soil metagenome. RNAcentral's name for it is "partial contains 5.8S ribosomal RNA, internal transcribed spacer 2, and large subunit ribosomal RNA". The stretch from base 1 to 120 matches the Rfam family "5.8S ribosomal RNA", at positions 35 to 154 of the family's 154-position model. The record is from RNAcentral.